RNAcentral lists this small nuclear RNA (141 nucleotides) under Dipodomys ordii (Ord's kangaroo rat). Its description in RNAcentral is "U4 spliceosomal RNA (ENSDORG00000020320.2)". The stretch from base 1 to 62 matches the Rfam family "U4 spliceosomal RNA". Lineage: Eukaryota; Metazoa; Chordata; Mammalia; Rodentia; Heteromyidae. The record is from RNAcentral.
AGCUUUGCACAGUGGCAGUAUCGUAGCCAAUGAGGUUUAUCCGAGGUGCGAUUAUUGCUAGAGUAUUUAUGCUAGAUUAUGAAUGCUGUAACAAACUGUAGUGACAUACAAUAGAAGAAUGUUUAUACUAUUUAGAGAGAA